GCUCCGGUUUCCACUCCAAUCCCAAGUACGGCCCCUCAGGCUCCAGGCUCCACUCCAGUCCCCGUUACUGCCCCCAAGGCUCCGGUCUCCCCUCCGGUCCCCAUUAUGGCCCCUAAGGCUCCGGUCUUCACUCCUAUCUCUCGUCCGGCCCCAAAAAAGGUUGAGCAGAAGCCUCAAGAGCCCAAGAAGAAGGUCACAGGUAGCAAGCCAGCCCCUGCGAAGAAGAUCUAAAAGAACAUGGAAGGGUAGUGAUCAAUUUAGCGCGUGAUGUAAUAGAUUCUAUGGAUGUUUAAUUCCCUCUGUGUGUAAGAGGGAUGAAAAUCCUGAAAAUAGCGCAUGAUAUAAUAUCUUUGUACCCUUUGUUUCUUGCUUGGCCUAACUAAAUAAAAUGUGCGAAUUUAAAGGA
Rhododendron vialii is the source of this 406-nucleotide long non-coding RNA. RefSeq lists it as uncharacterized. Lineage: Eukaryota; Viridiplantae; Streptophyta; Magnoliopsida; Ericales; Ericaceae. The transcript has 2 exons. The record is from RefSeq and is a predicted model, not a curated record.